RNAcentral lists this ribosomal RNA (497 nucleotides) under uncultured bacterium. RNAcentral describes it as "partial 16S ribosomal RNA". It matches the Rfam family "Bacterial small subunit ribosomal RNA", at positions 28 to 507 of the family's 1533-position model. The record is from RNAcentral.
GAUGAACGCUGGCGGCGUGCCUAAUACAUGCAAGUCGAGCGAACAGAUGAGGAGCUUGCUCCUCUGACGUUAGCGGCGGACGGGUGAGUAACACGUGGAUAACCUACCUAUAAGACUGGGAUAAUUUCGGGAAACCGGAGCUAAUACCGGAUCAUAUAUUGAACCGCAUGGUUCAAUAGUGCAUGACGGUUUUGCUGUCACUUAUAGAUGGAUCCGCGCCGCAUUAGCUAGUUGGUAAGGUAACGGCUUACCAAGGCAACGAUGCGUAGCCGACCUGAGAGGGUGAUCGGCCACACUGGAACUGAGACACGGUCCAGACUCCUACGGGAGGCAGCAGUAGGGAAUCUUCCGCAAUGGGCGAAAGCCUGACGGAGCAACGCCGCGUGAGUGAUGAAGGUCUUCGGAUCGUAAAACUCUGUUAUUAGGGAAGAACAAAUGUGUAAGUAACUAUGCACGUCUUGACGGUACCUAAUCAGAAAGCCACGGCUAACUACGUG